This is a long non-coding RNA of Acanthopagrus latus (yellowfin seabream), 441 nucleotides long. RefSeq lists it as uncharacterized. The transcript is spliced from 3 exons. NCBI's taxonomy places the organism in Eukaryota, Metazoa, Chordata, Actinopteri, Spariformes, Sparidae. The record is from RefSeq and is a predicted model, not a curated record.
CCGCAGAGGAGUGGGCCCACAUUUCUUCUCAGACAGGCUAUACCAGCAGAUUUGUGGGCUACCAACAGCCCCUGUCAGCGUUGAAGAUGUUAGCGAUCACACACUGAACAGCUGAUGAAAGUUUGUGGAAGGCUUCAAGACUCUUGGGUGACUUUAACAGCUCCAGAAACACCUCACAAACACUUCAGUCCUGAGCAGUUUUUUCACAGUGGUCUUCUCUAUGCAGGGCCCCAAUAGAAGAUCUCGAGAAAACCAGACAAUAUGCUUCUGCAGAGACUGGUUGAUUGAUAUUGAAGAGGAAGAAGCUGGCCCUAUCACACUUGAGACUGUCUUGGAGUUUGCCUCUGGAGAAUCAGCAGUGCCUCCACUGGGAUUUCCCAACCAGCCUCAAAUACAAUUUCUCCACAAUGGCAGCAAAUUCUUUCCAGAAGCAAAUACUUG